CGUGAAGACAAGCAGGUUGAAGCGCCAUUUGAGGUCCACCAGGGUGGUGAAGAGGUCGCUCAGGUGCUCCCCCCCAUUCCGAGGAAGCAGGGUCCCUGGUAGCAAAUCCCAGAUGCAUGUUCUAUAAACAAUGGAGGAAGAGUUCACCCAUCACAAAAAAGUCAGAUGAUCCUGGCAGACCUUUUUCUCUGCUGCCUUGGUGGUUGCAGCAAUUUCAAGGAUGAAGAAAGAGACACAGAGCAUCUAAGUCAAGGACCGAAGGGCCCCGGUGGGCCAUCUGCUGGGCAAGGCACCACGCUCACAGAAACUCCCUAUAAUUCCCCCAGAUCUGGGGAAGGGAUACUCUCUCCCGUGACGCGCCACAGCUGACUUUAAGAAAGGGAGACCACCUGGGGUGAGCCAGCCCU
Lynx canadensis (Canada lynx) is the source of this 407-nucleotide long non-coding RNA. RefSeq lists it as uncharacterized. NCBI's taxonomy places the organism in Eukaryota, Metazoa, Chordata, Mammalia, Carnivora, Felidae. The transcript is spliced from 4 exons. The record is from RefSeq and is a predicted model, not a curated record.